ACAAGGUACCCCGUAGGAGAACCAGCGGCUGGAUCACCUCCUUUCUAAGGAUAAUCGGAAAGCGACAGGGACUUAAGUGACAAUUUGUUUGUUUCAAAGUUUUGUUUAGUUCAGAGUGUGAUACUUUAAUAGGUAUCAUGGUCUCAAAGUGAUCCUAUGGGGAAUUAGCUCAGCUGGGAGAGCACCUNCUUUGCAAGCAGGGGGUCANCGGUUCGAUCCCGCUAUUCUCCAUAGCUAGUCGAAAGGCUAGCAUGUUGUACAUUGAAAACUGAAUAGUAACAAAUUCUUUUAAAAGCAAUCGUAAGAUUGCACUAAAA
RNAcentral lists this transfer RNA (317 nucleotides) under Leuconostoc mesenteroides subsp. mesenteroides. RNAcentral describes it as "partial contains 16S ribosomal RNA and 16S-23S ribosomal RNA intergenic spacer". The stretch from base 159 to 231 matches the Rfam family "tRNA". The record is from RNAcentral. Lineage: Bacteria; Bacillati; Bacillota; Bacilli; Lactobacillales; Lactobacillaceae.